CCUACGGGAGGCAGCAGUGGGGAAUAUUGGGCAAUGGGCGCAAGCCUGACCCAGCCACGCCGCGUGAAGGAAGAAGGCUUUCGGGUUGUAAACUUCUUUUAGUCGGGAAGAGCAGCACACGGUACCUCUUGCAUACACCACGGCUAACUACCUGCCAGCAGACGCGGUAAUACGUAGGUGGCAAGCGUUGUCCGGAGUUACUGGGUGUAAAGGGCGUGCAGCCGGGAAGGCAAGUCAGAUGUGAAAUCCCGCGGCUCAACCGCGGAACUGCAUUUGAAACUGUUUUUCUGGAGUACCGGAGAGGUGAUCGGAAUUCCAUGUGUAGCGGUGAAAUGCGUAGAGAUAAGGAAGAACACCAGUGGCGAAGGCGGAUGACUGGACGGCAACUGACGGUGAGGCGCGAAAGCGUGGGGAGCAAACAGGAUUAGAUACCCCAGUAGUC
RNAcentral lists this ribosomal RNA (442 nucleotides) under uncultured bacterium. RNAcentral's name for it is "partial 16S ribosomal RNA". It matches the Rfam family "Bacterial small subunit ribosomal RNA", at positions 338 to 795 of the family's 1533-position model. The record is from RNAcentral.